Molecule: non-coding RNA, 8504 nt
Organism: Phasianus colchicus (ring-necked pheasant)
Lineage: Eukaryota; Metazoa; Chordata; Aves; Galliformes; Phasianidae
Source: RefSeq, a predicted model, not a curated record
AAAAAACCACACCAAUCGGAUUCCAUCCAGAUUCUGCAGUUUGGCUUCUAAGCUGCAACAACCUACACAUCGCUCACUGCAAGAAAUGCAUCAAAUGGUAAGUUUUAUUAGCAGCGUUUGCUCAUCCCCCCAGUUUCUGUGAAGAAUAUGCAACUUAUGUGCAAAACUGGCUGGUGGGCGAAGGCUUGUCUACUGAAAAGCACAGAAGAGGUUACCUGUGAAAUAUUGGUGUCUGCUUCUAGGAAUGGUCAUUUUCCAGUUAGCCAAUGACACACAGCGUAAGUGAAAAGUUUAAGCAGCUUCUCUGUCGUUGCUCAUCAGAGAUGGAUAUUUCACUCAAUGCACACGAAGUAAGUAGACUAACAUAAAUGCAGUGCAUUCCUGCAUCUUUUGCUUUUCAUUCUUCUAGCCAUCUCUGGGCAUUUGUUGUCACCAUCAUCCAUCUGGUAGAGAGAAGACUCUCCAUCAGGUAAGAGUUAUCUUUUCCUAUCAGGAGCAGCAUGGAUUCUUGUUCUUUGCAGAUGGUUUGGUGUAAGUGUCAGUAUUACUGCACAUAAAUAAUUUUAUUGGCGCAUAAAUCAAUAGUACUACAGAUUUAAAAGGAAACCUGUAUUGGUAAGCAGCUUUGCCAUGUGGCUGCCAUUAUACCCAAUUAAUGGCAUUUAAUAGAGUCCACUUAAUCUUUUGCAGUCUUUUUUUUUAGAAAACCUGGUAGUUAUCCAUAUUAGAGAUGAGGCAUUGAAGCACAUGUGAGAUUUAUCUGUCCUGAGGAUCUUCUCAUUUUCCCUGCUGUCCACAUGCAGGCUCAGCCCCAGCCCUGGGCAGGGAUCUACUGGUGCUCCAGCAGGGAUGUGUCAUGCAGGGGUGGGAGCAGCUCAGCUGGAUUCCCUCUUCUGUUGGCUUUCUGGUACGGGGGCAGUUGGGUUGUGGCCUGGUGAGUAUGCCUGUUGGGAGUGGUUUGAUACUGAAACACCACACUGAAAUAAUAGUGUGGUUAGGAGAACAGACUUUUCAUUGCACUCCUAAACCAGGAGCGUGGUGCCUGGAAGUAGAGCAAUGAUGUUGGUUUAUGUGAAUUGCCUUCAGUUAUGCAAGAAUACUGUGGAAAAGCUAAGAAUUAAGCACCCUUGCUGAAGGGCUCCUCCUACAUCUCCUCACUAUUCUUCCUCCCAUGUAACUUUCUACCUUGGCAUGACUAAUGCUUCAAAUUAAUGUGUACUAACCUCUAGCAUUUUAGUAUAAUAACAUAAAAAUUUGUCUUCAUGCAGAAUUUAAUUUUUGUACUCGCUUGUCAUGUUCCAAGCAGCAGGGAAGGGUCAAGGAACAGGUGUGGGUGUCUGGGAGCUCUGUACCUGCAGCUCUCCAUUUGGUCACAGCCAACAAGUGCCUUUUCACACGCUCACGCAGUCGCUGCGAGCUCAUUGGGGCUCUAAAGCAACAGACUUAACUCUGCCCAGCUGUGUGCUGCGAGGGUCGCUGCCCCACCCCGUCGCCCAAUUGCACACGUGCUGUUUGCUGGGCCAUCUCGCUCUGAUGGCCUCUGAACGCUCGCUGCAUCUGCGGCUGGUGCCUUUCACGGGGUGGCAACAACUUCAAAGCUGCCGUGCGUGGCUUUGCACUUGCUGCAGUUAUGCAGAAACCUGCGCGUCAGAUGACCCGCGUUAAGCCGAAGAGCACGUUACGGGCGUUGUGCUAACAGCACGGAGACGCCAACCCGAGGCUGGCAGCCUGACCCGGCUCCGUGCUUGAAGAGGGCAGGGCUGCGGCGCUGGAAUUCAGCUUUCGUUAGGCCGUUCCCUAACCUUCAAAGCGGGAUUUUCGGAGGAAGGGCCGCUGGAGAAGACAGGAUGAGCCCUAUCUGAUCCUUAUCGGGAGCGGACGAAAGCCAUGCGCUGCUUUUUCCUUUUGCCGCGUGCACUUAGCUGGGCUCGUGUAGAGGACGCACGUCGACGGCAACGGGCGCGCCGUCAGUCCCGCGCCGCCGCCCCGUCACCUGCAGGCCGCGGCAGCCCCUGCGGAGCGGCGGCUCCCCGACUGCGGCCUGCAGCACCGGGGCCGCGUGGGCUCCUCGUGAAGCCCCGAGUGAACCCGCGGGUCUCUCCGUGCGUUUGCCCGGCGCUGCUGCCCCCGCCCAAAGAAGCCUCGCUGUGUUUAUGGGGUGAUCUGUCUGCCCGUGGCAGACUACAGCUGCGGCGUCCCCGAGCGCCGCCCUCCCCGCCGGCCGUGAGCCUGCUUCGGACACGAGGGCGACGUGACGCGCACGGCAGCGGCUCUUUGCGGUUCCACGGUGCUAAAGGACCGCAACAGGAGCUUGCUGGAACUUGGCUCUCUAUUUAGAGAGGAAUUGAGGAUGCCCCUGUUCUGUGCAAGGCCCAGGAGAAGGAAGAGAAGCAGGAGGAGCUGCCUGUCUCCAGCCACAGCCCAGGCACAGGGGAUAGAGGUGCACCCAACAGCCACUGUGGUGCAGCUGACUUCCUCCACAGCCAGAAGUGGUGGGAGAAAACUCUGGUGCUGAGUCACGUUUCCUUCCUUUGAGCUCAUGCUGGAAUGGAUGGACAUGCCUGCACUGUGCCGGCAAGGCCUCACUGCGUGGCUUCUGCUGGGGACUGCUCGAGGUGGAUGCAGUGGUCCCUGUCAGAUGUGUGCCAAAUUGAAAUGCCAGCAGCUGUGUGAGCAGCGGGAUAAUCGUAUCUGCUGCUUCUCUCUUCCAAGUCCUGGCAUCCCCAUUUCAGCAGUGGUGUGUCCGUGCUCAGCUCUGCGGGAGGAAAUCCAUUGACUUAAGGCAUGCUGAUGCCUGGGGGAUGCGGUUACAUGCUCAUCAGUCACCUGUCUGACUGCGAACCCACUGGGCUUCUGGGAGGACUGACCAAAGCUCCGUGUGAUAACAUCAGUGCUCCUCACCUGAAAGUGGGCAGCUUGGAAUGCUCUGCUAUUGCCAUAAGAAGGCACAGACUUUGGAAGCAGCAACCCAUUCCUCUUACAAAUUUGCAGUGUAUUCUCCUUUUUUCCAUUCUGUACCAUUGAGCAUGAUAACGGAAAUGCUGCUGUUGGCUUAUUCCCUACCGUCACAGCAGAAGGGGACAGGAGGGAAAAGUUUUCGCUCAGCUUUUUGUUAUCAACCAUCUUCAUCCAUCACACGGCAUCUACACUAUGGAAUUCCCCCUAAAUGAAAGGCAAUGGUAAUGUCUUCACCUCCUGAAGACAGGACACAGCUCUCAGACCGAAUCAGCCGCUGCUGGAUAGCUUUUUGAAAUCUCCACAAUUAUCAGACCUGGAAGAUUUUUCCAUCAUGCUGGCCUGGGCUAGGCAUUUGGUGGAUUCAACUCAGUGGCUGUGAAAUUCCUGAGGAUGUUAUUACUUUCAAGUCAGAUUAACAGAGUAAUUUCCAGGUAAGAUAUUCUAGAAGAUAAUUUCAUACCUUGAACAAUUGCAUUGUCUAUUAAACAGAACAGAACUAUUUGUGGAAAAGAUAAUAAUCAAGAUCACAAGAUAGCAUCAGAUUUUAUAUUACGAUCUCCAGAUGUCUUAGGGAACUUAAUGCACCCAGGAUUGGUUCAAGUCUAAUUUGCAUGACAGAAAUGUGAGUUCCAGUGUCCUUUUCUCUGAGACUGUGUGGGGAAACUCUGUCUCCACAGGGACUACAAAGGACAGGCUGCCGUGGUUUGGUUGUGCUUUGGCAAGAGUAUUCACCACAGCAGCUCCUGGAGUGCCCAGUGGUAUCAAGCGCAUAAAAGAAGAGCUUUCACCUUUACUCAGACAGUGUGGUGUUCAGGCCUUUCUAAUGUAUACCCAUCAGAGCUGGCUGUAUGUUUUCCUGAAGACCACAGAUGUCCAGGAGGUUCUGAUGAGUCACAUCUAUAUCUGAGUUUGACACAGUGUUAGCUUCAUUGCCUAUUUUAGGUAGAUGGUGGUACAGAUAGACAGUGGUAGCUAAUGAUGCAAUGAUCUGUGAGUGCAAUUGCUUUUUCAUUUCAGCUUAGUUUGGCCAGAAAGUAAAAAAGAGAUCUCAAAGCAGAAAACGUGUCUUGACAUGACACCACAACACAAAAACGGCUUACAGCUACGUUUCCUUCAUGGAAAUCUGUACAAAAAUUGACAGCUGGGGACUUCGUGAGUUUCUGUCUGGAGCCAAAAAUUCAGUGUAAAUGCACAAAAGAGUGUGAGCAGAGAGCAUUCCAGCUCCUUCAACUCUGUGCACAAAACCUCUCAGGGCUUCAGAUAGGAUUUUAUUAUUUCUCACAGUCUUCAAAUGUUGUGCUGUGUUAGGAUGUGCUUAUACAUAAUUUUGUAAUUGAAAUGGCAUGUUUACUGUUCCAUUUCAUGCUUGAUUGUGUUUUUUAAACACCUUUACUCAUGCUGCUAGAAGUAGGAUUAUAAUUAAAAUGUCCUGUUGAACACCUUGUUCAGUUCAGUGAAGGCAUAAUAGAAGUAUAAAUACUUGUUCUCAUUGACUCUAUGAUGUCAGCACAACAAAUGCAGUACGUGUCAGGAAACUAAUCUCUUUUUUACCAAGGCAUCUGUAAAGAGGGAAGGGGAAACAGAAUCUGUGUCUGGGCAAAGUGGGGACCUCUCUACAGGAGAAUAGGAAAGUUUUAGAGAUACUGUUAACCUCUUAGCUACAUUGAACCUGAAGUUCCAAGAGGCUUUCUGAGUGUUGGCAGACAUACUAAAGGAGUUAAAGGCAACAAUAUUAUCCUUACAUAAAGUCUUUUCUCUAAAGAUUUCAAAGUAUUUUCCAAGCAUUAAUAAGUCAAGCUUUAAUAAGCAGGUUCAUGUUAUUAUAAUACCUGUGGUAUAUAUGUGUUAACUAGGGCAUGGAAUGUUUGAGUGAUUAGCCAGUUACUGGCGAAAAUUAGACAGGAAUUUGUUUCUCUACUCACAGUCCCUUGGCCUAAACACUAGGCAGUACUUUCUACAGUAGUUAUUAGGAAAAGCUGAGUUUGGUUGUAAGGUGUGAAAGAGUAAUAUACUUCUUACUGUUUCUGUUUCUUUAAGAUGCGUAUAGUUAUGCAGACUUCAUGUCUUUGUGGUAGGAUUGAAUUACAACACAGAGUUCAAAAUGUUUAUAGUUCAAAGUCCAGUGGUUACAGCACUUUAGCAUGGCAAUAAUGCUUUAAUUUUCUUAUACUCUUAGUUACCACUAGUGAAGAGAUUCCUACCAAUCCUGGCAGGCAAUUGUUCAGUCUUACGGAGCUUCAAAUGACUUUAUAGCUUGGAAGUCUGAGUAAGUGGGAAAAUUUCAAUAUUUAGUCUUAUGUUUGAUGCUUAGUUGGGCAAUUUACUCAAUACUUUGGUUAGUACUCUUCCUCUGAAAAGACAGGGAAAAUAAUGUCUGUGUUCAUUGUGCUUUUCAAUUGCUGUAAUAGUGUUUUUAAUAUACUAGAUACUAGGCUUUACACUGUACUUACACCAUGAAACUUUAUGUUCAUGUCCUUUCACUGACUGAAAGAGGACUCUCAAAACCAAUCCCAAGAUGUAUAACAUUUCUGUGCCAGAGCAGGACUCACCAGUCAGUGGCUGCCUUACAGGGAAAUAUACAUGAAGUAGGUAAAUAAGCAGACCCAGAGGGUGUGCAAAUUGCCUUCUGUGCCUAGUUUCAGUGCCAUCAACUAUAAGCUCAGCAGAUGUCAUGCAGGAAGGUGGUUCACAGGAUUUCCUCUUAAGAAAAGCUGUGAGAAAGUAACAAAGUGGGAGGUUUUCCUUCUGGGACAGGGGAAGACAGUACAGAGGACAGACCAACCCAGUGCUCAGAAAGAUUCACUGGGAUAAGUCUACUGAACGUGCAAGACAAAAUGUGCAAGAGUGUUUUUGUCAGAUGGGAUUGCCGCAAAACUUAGUGAAUUUCUUUGAGUGUCUCAUUAUAAGUACAGGUGCAGCUCUACACACCCACACGUGCUGUGUUUAUUUUAGUGUGUGAUCACAUAAAUACCUGCAGGUGUGAAACUGAAGAGAUAGCCGUGCUGAGGCAUGAAUAUGGAGUUCCACAUCUGUAUUUACUGCCUUUUUCACACAAUGAACUAGUGCAGUCUGAGGGUUCUCUUCUCACCUCCUACAUGCACUUUAUAAGUAAUUUUGAAGGAAAUUCAGUCCUGGUAAAUACAUUCAAUGGAUGGAUGUCAAGGUAUAGAAUCAAAAUACAUGAAGGUGAAGGAGUAUGGAACAGCCAUCAGUUCACUGUAUUGCACAUAUAUGCAACAUUAGAAGAAGACUAAUUUCAGAUAAAGAAGGUCACAUCAGGUUAAUAUACAGUCAUAAACUCAUAAAAUUGGAAUUUAAUGUGCCUUUUGAGGCAUCUAAAACUUCUGUUGGCCUUCCGUACAGUGGCUGGUUCUUGCACACACUGAGAUGUUUCCUUGUGUGUAAUACUGUCAUAUAGUCUGUAAUACGUGGAGUACAAAUCAUGGCUACUGCAAAAACCUUUGAAUUCACUGAUUCGUGUGCAUGUUGUGGUAUUGCAUUUAUGCAGCUGUUGCAUUGAGUAUUCAUCUGAUGCUAACUGUCUGGUUAGUAAGGCCCUCCUCAGUGUCGAAAAUAGAAAACAGUAAAAGAUAUUAACGGUAUUUUCUAUAUAAUGGUUGCCUACAGAGGCUUAAUGUUCUGAAAGUUUCACACUUUUUGUAAGGCCUUCAGUGAUAACUUCUGUUUUUCAAAGAGAAAAAUAAACCUUCCAAAAUUCCUUUGAACAUUUCCGCAGCCUUUCAUAGUGUUAGCUGUGAAAGUUAUGGUGUCACGUUCUUAAUAAGGACAUAUGGGAACGGUGUUUUAGUAGUCUCUGCUGCUUUAUUUGUGAAAACUAUCUCAGGAUGCUUUGGGAUUAUUUGGCAAUAACUUCCUUUUGCCCCAUGAUUCCACAGGGAUCUUCUCUGUUAUCUUCUGUUCAUUAUAUUCAUUUGAAGAUAUUUUGGAGAAAACAUGGAACUCGAUAGCAUUCAUUCCCUGUUUAUGCCUCUGAAUGGCUAAAGACAGGGAUUGAGUUUUUCUGUGACAGUAAAUGUGGAGGAACCACAUUGCUCAAAAUUCAAUUCAGCAAAAUUUUUUUAAAUAGUGCUGCAAAGAAGGAAAAAAAAAAGGACAAAUUUUUGUUUCUGAUGUGAAUGUCUCUGCUUUGUCCAGAGGAACCACAGCUACCAUCUGUGACUUGUGAUAGCGACUGUGCUUCUAUGCUAUGGAGAAAGGGACAGAAGCAGCUAGAGCAGUAGAAGAAAUAACACUGUGUUAACAAAGACUUUAGCUGAGGCAAAUUUACUUCCCUGAGAAUUAGCUGGGGUAUCUCUCCAUGACACACUUACUUUAGAAUCACAGCAUGUUGCAGUUAUUAGACUCUGGCAGGCUCCUAGGUAGGAACUGUGUCCAAGAGCCUUUAUUUCAUCUGCUCCAAUUGAGAAGAGUGUGGCAGUUUCUUUUGGUUGAGCCUUGCUAUAACGAUCUGAGCUUUAGUCACCGUGAGGCUAGCACACUGCAAAGCAUUCAGCUGGCGUUACAGCCAGAGACAACUGAGCUCCAAAAGUGAGUGCAGACUGUGUCUAUCUACUUAUUAAGUGACGGGUCAUGUGGAGUGCCCAUUACCCAGUAAUUGGUGCUAGCUGCCAGUUAGCAUUCAGUGGGACUUGGCGCAUUUGUAUAGCCCUUACAGACCAGAGUGGCCUGAGAUUGUUCUUGCCUUAUUUGCUGCAAUUGUAAUCAGACGGUGGCUCUGCUUCGCAGAUCUACCAAACUCAAACUGAAGGGCACGGGGGAGUGUGGGAUCUCCCUAGAGAGUUCAGCCAGAGGGAUGCCUGGGUCUCAGGGCUCUGUGGUAAGGCUGCAGUCCACUGACCCCUCUGCUUUCCUUGGCUUGCAGCUUCCUUCCCUGCACCACAGGAGAAGGAAAGGAUGGAAUCUGUGGUAGGUGACACAGUGCCUACCCGAUCAUGCACAGCUCUAAGUAAGUCUUUAAAGAUGAGACCCUUGAGUGUUUUCUGGCCUCGUGGAGCCCACGGGCAGCAUUCAGAUGAGGAGUUCAGACACAAAGAUGGGGAAGUCUUUCCAGAAGGGACUGCGUAGGCAGACACACACACACAUAUCGCUGUGUAAGGUACAUGGUCUUGCAGCUUUGGUUUGGGGAACCCUUUUGUUCUCAGGCUGCCAACUGCGGGCACUGCUCUGAAUUGCAGCAGGUUGUGGGGGAGCGAGGAGGAAAGUGCACACCAUCCUGUAGGUCAGCACCGGGUGCGAUGACUUCGGCGCACACGAGAGCAGGAUGGGGCUCUUUUCACACCGUUACUUCCCGCAGUAUUACAGUUCUUUUUUAAUUACAGAGCAGAGCGGCACUAGGCCCAGAGGUGAGCAAGGUGGUGAUUGAGGGCAUGCGAACGGCGUGCUCUCUGCAGUCCCGCAGCCGCGGACCCCCGCUCUGCGCCGCGCCGGACCCGGCAGCCCUGCGCCUGGCGGCAGCGGGCGCGCUUCGCCGGGUUGCCCGGGAGGUGGCGCCCUUGAUCGCAGAGUGAGGAGCGGGCGGGCGGGCC